CCCAUUCACCUUUCCAUCCAUAUCUAUCUCCCAAAGCCCCAUCAAAUCCCUUUGAACCACUAUAUCAUCAUCCAAGAACAGAAUCUUAUGCAACUUUGGAUACAUUUCGGGUAAAUAGAACCUGAGAUGAUUCAAAAUUGAUAGAUAUUUUGGAUUUCUAAACUUCAUAUUUGUUGUAUCCUUUGUUGCAUUCUCAAGCUUAUUCUCAAAGUAAAACUUCUGUAAGUUGGCAGACUCAAGCUGUUUAAGCACUGGAACAUAAGAGGAAUUCAAGAAUUUGUAAUCCUCCACAGCCUUCACUUCAAUAUGAGCCCCAUUAUAAUCCCUCAUUUUGAACAUCACUUGCAUAGCCCCGAGAUUCAUUUUAUCUGUUACUACAUGAAACACGUGCUUCCAUGGCUCUCUCGAGUUUUUCACAGCUGAGUUCACCACAACAGAAGCAGCAAUUACAUUAUCCGAGAAAAUUGCAUAAUGAUAAAGCUUUGGGUCCUCCAAUUCCAUCUUGGGGGGCUUCCCUUCGUCUGUAUACUUAUCAGGAUGUGCAAUUCGUUCUUCCAUCAACCUUAAAGCCAAGCAAUGCAAGCUUUUGGGGAUCGACUUGGCAGCAAUCAAGCUUGAGAAAGCACCCUGUUUUUUCGCUUUCGUCAACUGUUCAUUUAAUGCAAAGAUAUUAUCUUUCAGCUUAUGAAUUUUCAGCUGAUUAUCAAAAGAUUCUUUCGCCUCGGAAAUCACUUGUCGUGUGACUUUAAUUUGUGCUUUGACGUCUUUCUCGAACUGUCUCAGCACUGACUCAUCAAUUGAAUUUGUCUCUGCAUCAAACAAUGCCUGAUAAGAAGGUUUUGAGAGCAGAUUUGUGUAGUUAUGAGAGAGUUCCGCAAAAAUCCUAACAAGCUUUGAAUUUUCAAGCUUCAGUUUUCGUGCAUAGGAACCAUAUGCUAAAGCUAAACUUCUAUGAUCCCCUGCUUGUUUCCGUAUUUGAUCUAUCCGAGGCCUUAAUGGAUCCGAUUUUAGUGCCAGAACUGAUCUUCGGAUUGAUCCCGAGCUAAAUCCAUAUGAAUCAACAGGAAAACCCUAAAAUUACAGAAAUAAAAAUCAACACAUUUUGGUCAUAUGCUGAGAUUAACAUUAAGCGAAAAAUACAGAGAGAUGCGAGGACAUGAAAAGUAAUUAAACCGACAAAAAAACGUAACAAGAUCAAUGAAUUCGAAGACAAAUUAAUAAUCAUAUCAGAGGGUGAGAGAAAUUCAUGUACUGUGCAUAACGAUGAAAAGAUCCAAAACAUGUCUCAACAGCCCCAUUCACCUUUCCAUCCAUAUCUAUCUCCCAAAGCCCCGUCAAAUCCCUUUGAACCACUAUAUCAUCAUCCAAGAACAGAAUCUUAUGCAACUUUGGAUACAUUUCGGGUAAAUAGAACCUGAGAUGAUUCAAAAUUGAUAGAUAUUUUGGAUUUCUAAACUUCAUAUUUGUUGUAUCCUUUGUUGCAUUCUCAAGCUUAUUCUCAAAGUAAAACUUCUGUAAGUUGGCAGACUCAAGCUGUUUAAGCACUGGAACAUAAGAAGAAUUCAAGAAUUUGUAAUCCUCCACAGCCUUCACUUCAAUAUGAGCCCCAUAAUAAUCCCUCAUCUUGAACAUCACUUGCAUAGCCCCGAGAUUCAUUUUAUCUGUUACUACAUGAAACACGUGCUUCCAUGGCUCUCUCGAGUUUUUCACAGCUGAGUUCACCACAACAGAAGCAGCAAUUACAUUAUCCGAGAAAAUUGCAUAAUGAUAAAGCUUUGGGUCCUCCAAUUCCAUCUUGGGGGGCUUCCCUUCAUCUGUAUACUUAUCAGGAUGUGCAAUUCGUUCUUCCAUCAACCUUAAAGCCAAGCAAUGCAAGCUUUUGGGGAUUGACUUGGCAGCAAUCAAGCUUGAGAAAGCACCCUGUUUUUUCGCUUUCGUCAACUGUUCAUUUAAUGCAAAGAUAUUGUCUUUCAGCUUGUGAAUCUUCAGCUGAUUAUCAAAAGAUUCUUUUGCCUCUGAAAUUACUUGUCGUGUGACUUUAAUUUGUGCUUUGACGUCUUUCUCGAACUGUCUCAGCACUGACUCGUCAAUUGAAUUUGUCUCUGCAUCAAACAAUGCCUGAUAAGAAGGUUUUGAGAGCAGAUUUGUGUAGUUAUGAGAGAGUUCCGCAAAAAUCCUAACAAGCUUUGAAUUUUCAAGCUUCAGUUUUCGUGCAUAGGAACCAUAUGCUAAAGCUAAACUUCUAUGAUCCCCUGCUUGUUUCCGAAUCUGAUAU
This 2275-nucleotide long non-coding RNA is filed under the name Olea europaea (common olive). Its description in RNAcentral is "long non-coding RNA (OEUR_LNC004236)". Lineage: Eukaryota; Viridiplantae; Streptophyta; Magnoliopsida; Lamiales; Oleaceae. The record is from RNAcentral.